This 137-nucleotide ribosomal RNA is filed under the name uncultured eukaryote. Its description in RNAcentral is "partial 18S ribosomal RNA". It matches the Rfam family "Eukaryotic small subunit ribosomal RNA", at positions 1299 to 1458 of the family's 1831-position model. The record is from RNAcentral.
UGGUGGAGUGAUUUGUCUGCUUAAUUGCGAUAACGAACGAGACCUUGACCUGCUAAAUAGCCAGGUUGACUUUUGUCGGCCGCCGGCUUCUUAGAGGGACUUUUGGCUCAAGCCAAUGGAAGUACGAGGCAAUAACA